This 253-nucleotide ribosomal RNA is filed under the name uncultured bacterium. Its description in RNAcentral is "partial 16S ribosomal RNA". It matches the Rfam family "Bacterial small subunit ribosomal RNA", at positions 524 to 776 of the family's 1533-position model. The record is from RNAcentral.
UACGGAGGGGGCGAGCGUUGUCCGAAGUUACUGGGCGUAAAGGGCUCGUAGGCGGCCAACUAAGUCAGACGUGAAAUCCCUCAGCUUAACUGGGGAACUGCGUCUGAUACUGGAUGGCUUGGAUUCGGGAGAGGAAUGCGGAAUUCCAGGUGUAGCGGUGAAAUGCGUAGAUAUCUGGAGGAACACCGGUGGCGAAGGCGGCAUUCUGGACCGAUAUUGACGCUGAGGAGCGAAAGCCAGGAGAGCAAACGGG